UCAAUUCAUCGGUGGCUCCUUGUUCUUC
This 28-nucleotide small RNA is filed under the name Bombyx mori (domestic silkworm). Its description in RNAcentral is "piRNA piR-bmo-2233584". Lineage: Eukaryota; Metazoa; Arthropoda; Insecta; Lepidoptera; Bombycidae. The record is from RNAcentral.